Molecule: ribosomal RNA, 497 nt
Filed under: uncultured bacterium
Lineage: Bacteria
Description: partial 16S ribosomal RNA
Rfam family: Bacterial small subunit ribosomal RNA
Source: RNAcentral
GAUGAACGCUGGCGGCGUGCCUAAUACAUGCAAGUAGAACGCUGAAGGAAGGAGCUUGCUCUUUCCGGAUGAGUUGCGAACGGGUGAGUAACGCGUAGGUAACCUGCCUGGUAGCGGGGGAUAACUAUUGGAAACGAUAGCUAAUACCGCAUAACAGUAGAUGUUGCAUGAUAUCUACUUAAAAGGUGCAAUUGCACCACUACCAGAUGGACCUGCGUUGUAUUAGCUAGUUGGUGAGGUAACGGCUCACCAAGGCGACGAUACAUAGCCGACCUGAGAGGGGGAGCGGCCACACUGGGACUGAGACACGGCCCAGACUCCUACGGGAGGCAGCAGUAGGGAAUCUUGGGCAAUGGACGGAAGUCUGACCGAGCAACGCCGCGUGAGGGAAGAAGGUUGUCGGAUCGUAAAGCUCGGUUGUAAGAGAAGAACGAGUGUGAGAGUGGAAAGUUCACACUGUGACGGUAUCUUACCAGAAAGGGACGGCUAACUACGUG